CAAUAGCGAAUAUUAAAGUUGUUGCAGUUAAAAAGCUCGUAGUUGGAUUUGUGGCGUACGGUGUGUUCCGGGCACUUGUUGUCUGAGUAACCUGCUGUUGCCAUCCUUGGGUGGAACCUGUGUGGCAUUAGGUUGUCGUGCAGGGGAUGCCCAUCAUUUACUGUGAAAAAAUUAGAGUGUUCAAAGCAGGCUUAUGCCGUUGAAUAUAUUAGCAUGGAAUAAUGAGAUAGGACUUUUUUGCUAUUUUGUUGGUUUGCGCAAAGAGGUAAUGAUUAAUAGGGACAGUUGGGGGUAUUCGUAUUCCAUUGUCAGAGGUGAAAUUCUUGGAUUUUUGGAAGACGAACUACUGCGAAAGCAUUUACCAAGGAUGUUUUCAUUAA
This 380-nucleotide ribosomal RNA is filed under the name uncultured eukaryote. Its description in RNAcentral is "partial 18S ribosomal RNA". It matches the Rfam family "Eukaryotic small subunit ribosomal RNA", at positions 592 to 976 of the family's 1831-position model. The record is from RNAcentral.